AUGUCGAAACAGCCGCACAUAGUGGUUGUUUCUCCACCAGCUGUGCAGCGUUGGCUUCCUUCGGAGGAGGGGACAGCAAAGAUAAAUGCUGAUGGGGCUGUCUCUAGCGAUGGAAGCAAGGGGGUGUCCGCUGCAAUAUGCCGUGACCAUACUGGACAAUACCUAGGUUCUUCGGCUGUUGUUUUUCGAGGUAUAUCCGACCCUACAAUCCUUGAAGUGUACGCAUGCUGGGAGGCGAUGGCGUUGGCUGAAGACCUGAACAUUCAGCGGGUGCACAUUGCAAAAGACUAUCAAGAAGUGGUACAGGACAUCAGUAGAGGAAGCAGAGGGUUACAUGUAGCGAUCCUACAUGAAAUAACAGCUCGGAAGAGCGUCUUUCUUUCUUGUAAUUUUGUUUUCGAACGUAGGAAUUUUAAUUUUGAGGCCCAUGAUCUCGCCAAGUUUGCUAGCGGUCUUUCAGUAGGUCGACAUGUCUGGUUAGGCGUGCCUCAUGACCUGAACAUUGUACCAUGGACAUUUUGCUUGAAUAAAAGAUUGGCGAGAUUUUCUCAAAAAUAA
Molecule: ribosomal RNA, 558 nt
Filed under: Triticum aestivum (bread wheat)
Lineage: Eukaryota; Viridiplantae; Streptophyta; Magnoliopsida; Poales; Poaceae
Description: partial small subunit ribosomal RNA
Source: RNAcentral